AUUGAACGCUGGCGGCAGGCCUAACACAUGCAAGUCGAACGAGUGGCGGACGGGUGAGUAAUGUCUGGGAAACUGCCCGAUGGAGGGGGAUAACUACUGGAAACGGUAGCUAAUACCGCGUACCAUCGGAUGUGCCCAGAUGGGAUUAGCUUGUAGGUGAGGUAACGGCUAACCUAGGCGACGAUCCCUAGCUGCGCUGAGAGGAUGACCAGCAGCAGUGGAAUGGGGCCACGGUCCAGACGCCUACGGGAUGCACGAGUGGGGAAUAUUGAACAAGGGGCGCAAGCAUGAGGAAGCCAUGCCGCGUGUAUGAAGAAGGCCUUCGGGUUGUAAAGUACUUUCAGCGGUGAGGCGUUACCCGCAGAAGAAGCACCGGCUAACUCCGUGCCAGCAGCCGCGGUAAUAC
Molecule: ribosomal RNA, 406 nt
Filed under: uncultured bacterium
Lineage: Bacteria
Description: partial 16S ribosomal RNA
Rfam family: Bacterial small subunit ribosomal RNA
Source: RNAcentral